RNAcentral lists this ribosomal RNA (255 nucleotides) under Triticum aestivum (bread wheat). RNAcentral's name for it is "partial small subunit ribosomal RNA". Lineage: Eukaryota; Viridiplantae; Streptophyta; Magnoliopsida; Poales; Poaceae. The record is from RNAcentral.
AUGAGAUCGACACAAGGCUUUCGCCUUAAGCAAACCAUCCCAAUCAACUCCGCCGAAGUUGUCACCGAGUCCAGCAGCUGGAGACCUCCCCACCCUCCUACCAGACCACGACGAGCGUCCUCGCUAGGACUAGCACGAGGCUUCGGUGACGCAGACACUCACCUCGAGCACCCGCACAGCCGAAGUCAGCUCGGUGUCAGCUGCAGCUCGCAUCCAAGCCCUCGCUGCCGGUCACACCCCACCACCAGCACAUAG